This 400-nucleotide ribosomal RNA is filed under the name uncultured bacterium. RNAcentral's name for it is "bacterial SSU rRNA". It matches the Rfam family "Bacterial small subunit ribosomal RNA", at positions 355 to 747 of the family's 1533-position model. The record is from RNAcentral.
UUAGGAAUAUUCGUCAAUGGGGGAAACCCUGAACGAGCAAUGCCGCGUGAGUGAUGACGGUCCUCUGGAUUGUAAAACUCUGUUGAGAAGGAAGAAAAACUACAAUAGGAAAUGAUUGUAGCUUGACGGUACUUCUUUAGAAAGCUCCGGCUAACUACGUGCCAGCAGCCGCGGUAAUACGUAGGGAGCGAGCGUUAUCCGGAUUUAUUGGGCGUAAAGCGUUCGUAGGCGACUUGUUAAGUAUGAAAUUAAAGCCCGAGGCUCAACCUCGGUUCGUUUCAUAAACUGGCAGGAUUGAGUAUGGUAGAGGUAAGUGGAAUUUCUAGUGUAGCGGUGGAAUGCGUAGAUAUUAGAAGGAACACCAGUGGCGAAGGCGACUUACUGGGCCAUUACUGACGCU